RNAcentral lists this long non-coding RNA (521 nucleotides) under Mytilus galloprovincialis (Mediterranean mussel). Lineage: Eukaryota; Metazoa; Mollusca; Bivalvia; Mytilida; Mytilidae. The record is from RNAcentral.
UUAAGCUAGUGUAAAAAUAUCUCAUAUCAUGACAACGUGUCUAACCCAGAAACAGACUACAGGUAUCUGUAUAUGGCAAAAUCUUUAAGAAGUUUGGGUCUUAAACAUCGUACUUCAUUUUGCAUGUUAACAUUUUCGUUUUGAACGAGAUGAGUCUUUAAAAAUUUUAAAGCCUGGUAUCUGAUGACUUUAUUUAGUUCAUGUUACUAAUAUACUAUGUAGAACGUUGAAAUAAAGGCAUUAGUAGUAUACCGCUGUUUAAAAGUCAGAAAUCGAUUGAGAAAAAACAAAUCUGGGUUACAAACUAAAACCAAGGGAAUAAUGACGUGAUAACAAUUUGCUCAACAUUUGUUACAACUGAUUCAUUUGAUAUUAAUAAUGUGUCACCCUAUAUUUCUUGUUCUUAUUUGGAAUUUUAGUUUCUUCAUUUCGAUUAAAAGUCGGCAUUUCCUCGUCUGUUUUCGUUUUAGGAUUUUCAAACAAUUUGGCUGCAUAUGAAUGGUCGAAAUGCGUGUUCGGUG